Molecule: ribosomal RNA, 1244 nt
Filed under: Diaporthe phyllanthicola
Lineage: Eukaryota; Fungi; Ascomycota; Sordariomycetes; Diaporthales; Diaporthaceae
Description: eukaryotic LSU rRNA
Rfam family: Eukaryotic large subunit ribosomal RNA
Source: RNAcentral
CUGGCCUCGGCCCGAGUUGUAAUUUGCAGAGGAUGCUUCUGGCGCGGUGCCUUCCGAGUUCCCUGGAACGGGACGCCACAGAGGGUGAGAGCCCCGUAUGGUCGGACACCAAGCCUGUGUGAAGCUCCUUCGACGAGUCGAGUAGUUUGGGAAUGCUGCUCUAAAUGGGAGGUAAAUCUCUUCUAAAGCUAAAUACCGGCCAGAGACCGAUAGCGCACAAGUAGAGUGAUCGAAAGAUGAAAAGCACCUUGAAAAGGGGGUUAAAUAGUACGUGAAAUUGUUGAAAGGGAAGCACUUGUGACCAGACUUGGGCCGGGCGGCUCAUCAGGGGUUCUCCCCUGUGCACUCCGCCCGGCACAGGCCAGCAUCGGUUCUCGUGGGGGGAUAAGACCGUCAGGAACGUAGCACCCUCCGGGGUGUGUUAUAGCCUGGCGGACGAUACCCCCGUGGGGACCGAGGUUCGCGCUCCGCAAGGAUGCUGGCGUAAUGGUCACCAGUGACCCGUCUUGAAACACGGACCAAGGAGUCGUCCAUUAGAGCGAGCGUUUGGGUGUAAAACCCGCACGCGUAAUGAAAGUGAACGCAGGUGAGAGCUUCGGCGCAUCAUCGACCGAUCCUGAUGUUCUCGGAANGGAUUUGAGUAAGAGUUUUAACGGACGGACCCGAAAGACAGUGAACUAUGCUUGUAUAGGGUGAAGCCAGAGGAAACUCUGGUGGAGGCUCGCAGCGGUUCUGACGUGCAAAUCGAUCGUCAAAUAUGAGCAUGGGGGCGAAAGACUAAUCGAACUGUCUAGUAGCUGGUUACCGCCGAAGUUUCCCUCAGGAUAGCAGUGUUGAUCUUCAGUUUUAUGAGGUAAAGCGAAUGAUUAGGGACUCGGGGGCGCUAUAUAGCCUUCAUCCAUUCUCAAACUUUAAAUAUGUAAGAAGCCCUUGUUACUUAGUUGAACGUGGGCAUUCGAAUGUACCAACACUAGUGGGCCAUUUUUGGUAAGCAGAACUGGCGAUGCGGGAUGAACCGAACGCGGGGUUAAGGCGCCAGAGUGUACGCUCAUCAGACACCACAAAAGGCGUUAGUACAUCUUGACAGCAGGACGGUGGCCAUGGAAGUCGGAAUCCGCUAAGGACUGUGUAACAACUCACCUGCCGAAUGUACUAGCCCUGAAAAUGGAUGGCGCUCAAGCGUACCGCCCAUACCCCGCCCCCAGGGUAGAAACGAUGCCCUGGGGAGUAGGCGGCCGUGGGGG